CCUUUUGUAGAAUGAACCGGCGAGUUACGAUUUGAUGCAAGGUUAAGCAGUAAAUGUGGAGCCGUAGCGAAAGCGAGUCUGAAUAGGGCGUUUAGUAUUUGGUCGUAGACCCGAAACCAGGUGAUCUACCCUUGGUCAGGUUGAAGUUCAGGUAACACUGAAUGGAGGACCGAACCGACUUACGUUGAAAAGUGAGCGGAUGAACUGAGGGUAGCGGAGAAAUUCCAAUCGAACCUGGAGAUAGCUGGUUCUCUCCGAAAUAGCUUUAGGGCUAGCCUCAAGUGAUGAUUAUUGGAGGUAGAGCACUGUUUGGACGAGGGGCCCCUCUCGGGUUACCGAAUUCAGACAA
This 349-nucleotide ribosomal RNA is filed under the name Staphylococcus aureus. RNAcentral describes it as "partial 23S ribosomal RNA". It matches the Rfam family "Bacterial large subunit ribosomal RNA", at positions 604 to 952 of the family's 2925-position model. Lineage: Bacteria; Bacillati; Bacillota; Bacilli; Caryophanales; Staphylococcaceae. The record is from RNAcentral.